AAACCUCACCAGUACCUGCACAGGAGAAACACCACGGAUCACAGCGCGAUCUGAAUGGCAAGAGCCUUGCCCUCACCCCACACCUUCCCAGCCUGCUUCCCCUGGGACACAGCCGUUGCUCACUUCCUAUCUGGACCCCAGAGGCCUCAGCCUGCAUCCUCACCCAGACAGAGCAGUUCUCAAGGAUCCUCCCUGUGCCCAGAAGUCUCCCUAGCCUGAGUGGUACAUGGGCAUCCCUCGCCUUCCUGAGAUCCCCUAUUGGGCCCUUUGAGCCCCGUUGUCCCCCACACCCCCCAUCCCGCCCCCCAGCCAUGCCCCACGCCUUGCCUGGUGGGUGCGGGGGUCCCCCUCAGCAGGUGGGCUGUGGCUGGGGGGCGUCUCCCGGGACAGGGGGGGCGGCCCCCCCCAGAUGGGUCUGCAUGUGGCCGGCCAGCUGGGCAGGGGUCUUGCAGUGCACGCUGCACAGCUUGCACAGGAUGCGGUCAGCCCGCGGGGCCUGGAGCCCGUGGUCCUUCACCGCGUGGAUGCGCAGGGUUGACCCUCAGCAGAGACGGCUGUGUCCCCUUCCCUCCAGUGCCCCGCGGUCUCAACCCAGUUAACCGGAAUCUAGACGCCACGAGCUCUUGGCUACAGCACCCUUAACCCGUAUCCGUGGCAAGGCGUCUGGCCAGGCGCCCACCCUCUGCCCCUGGCCCUCCCGGCAGCCCUCGGCAUGUACCUUUGUUGCAGAGCUCACAGACAUGGUGAGGACCCUGGCUGUGCACCUUCAUGUGGUCCGAAAUAUAAGCCGAGCUCAGCAUCUUGCCACACACGUGACAUGGCACUUUCUCCUCGUGUCGUACUGUGUGCGCCCGCAGCCGAUCCUUCGUGGCGAAAGCUGCCUCACAUUUCUGAGGAGGGGGGAGGGGCGUGGGGGGUGUCACAGGAGAGUUAAAGCUUGGUGGGCUGGGGAGGGGGGAGCAAGAGAUUAAAGGAAUCAGAGCCUUGGGGAUCUUUGAUCUGUAGGAAAUGGGAGUGACAUGAUGAGGCCUUGAAGAAGGGAUGAGAAAAUGGAGCAAAAAGGCAAAAAGAAGAGAGAGAAAAAGGGGGUCUGAGAGACUGACUCAGACAGCUACCAUGAGGAUCAAAAUCAUGAAAACCAAGACAGGAGGAGGCGGGCUUCCUACCUCACAUUUGAAGGGCCGUUCUGUUGAGUGCACUUGUCUGACGUGACUGUUGAGGUGAUCCGGCCUGGGGACACGUUGGGGUUGGGGUUAGGGCGGAGGUGGUGCGCCCCAAAUCCACCAAACCGCACCACAGGCCUUUCCGAGGAUCCCUGCGCCUCCUCCCGGAGCCCAGGCCGUCACAGCGACACUUAAGCAGGAAAUCCCUCCCCUGGAGCCCAGCAGCCGCUGCCGCCGCCGCCGCCUCCUCCCACGCGAAGCUUCCGUCAACCCCAAGGCCCACCUCCUCGACAAAGGACCACCCCUUGCUCCCUGGUAACCGGGAGAGGCUUCCUCCCUCCGCCCUGGGAGUGGCUCCCCUUCCCCAGCCUCAGCAGCCGCCUCCCUCCCCGCCAGCCACGGCCAGGCCACCUCCGUCGCGUCCCUCCCUCCCCACGGCCUAGCGGGCGGCCGAGGCCCCGUGCACACCGGGAGAAGCUCUUGCCACAGUGGGAGCAGUUGUAGGGCUUGUGCACAGCGCCGUCAUGUGAGCGCACGUGGUAGCUCAUGCGGUCCUUGCGCUUGAAGCGCUGCUGGCACACCGGGCACUGGUAGGGCUUCUCGUCCGAGUGCGACAGCUUGUGUCGGUUCAGGUGGUAGACGUCGCGGAAGGCCUUGCCACACAUCUCGCAGGCAUGGUUCUUCCGGAUGCGCUUCCCCGAGGCGGUCGUGGUCACCACGCCACCGGCGGCCACUGCGGCAGCGCCGCCGCCGGCACCCGCCUCUCCCCCUCCCCCGCCGGCUCCGCUCAGCUGGGGCACGCUCAGGAGGCUCAGGGGCACCAUGGUCGGCAUCUUCAUAGCACCCGAGGGGACCCGGCCGGCCUUGGCUCCCGUGUGGAUGGCUUCGUGCCUCCGGAGAUUGUAGCCGUUCUUGAACUCCUUGGCGCACAGAGCGCAGAUGUAGGGCCCCUUGCUCUUUGUCUUCUUCUCCAAGGCAGACGCGACCGGGGCCACGGCGACCGUCGAGGUUGGGGCUACGACGGCGGUGGCCGCCGCCGCGGCGAUAGUGGCGGCGGAGGCGGGGGGCGCGGCCUCGGCCGCGGGCGCCGACACUGGCGGGGGUGGCGGAGGGGGCGCCGGAGGCUGCUUCAGGGCCGCUGUGUCCACCGUAGAGGCGGCGGCAGGGGCCGGGGGCGCGGCAGCGACGGCGGCAGCAGCGGCGGCAGCGGCCGCAGCAGCCGCGGCGGACUCCUGGGCGGCGGCGAGCACCGGGAGCAAGUCCACCUGGAGGGGCUCGGCCGCCGGGGCCUGGGGCGUGGGCGGGGGCGCCGGCGCGGCCUGCGGAGACAAGGCGCCGAGUGGGCCGCGGGUGCGGGCGGGCGUCCCCCCCCAGCCCGGGCCGCCGCGGCCGGCCCUACUCACCUGGAAUGGACUCUGGGCGCAGCCCUGGGAGGCAAAGAAGCGGGACUGGAGCUCAGCCCCGACCUGCAGGGGGUUCUGGGCGUGACCCUGAGGUGGCGGGAAGGAGUUCAUGAGGCCGCCCACCCCCCGGGAGUCCAGGCCCAGCACGGGGAAGGGGGGGGCCAGCAGCGUGCAAGGAAACACCGGGAACAUGGCCUCGGCCGCAGCGGGGCCCCCGGGGCUCAGCGGGGGCCGGGGGCGCGGGCCGCGCGGGGCCCGGGCUCGGGGCGCCGCCCCCGGCCGGCCGGGCUGGGCCGCGCCGAACGCAUGGCCCGCGGGCCGCCCCGCCGCCCGCGCACCCCGGCCGGCGGGAGGGAGGAAAAGAGGGCGCCUUGCGGGCCGCGGAGCGCCGCGGCGACGGCGGCGGCGACGCCCCCUGGGUGGGGGCGGGAGGCCCCGCGGGGCCGGGGCCGG
RNAcentral lists this long non-coding RNA (3019 nucleotides) under Homo sapiens (human). RNAcentral's name for it is "HSALNT0385249". The record is from RNAcentral. Lineage: Eukaryota; Metazoa; Chordata; Mammalia; Primates; Hominidae.